Lolium perenne is the source of this 1735-nucleotide non-coding RNA. The record is from RefSeq and is a predicted model, not a curated record. Lineage: Eukaryota; Viridiplantae; Streptophyta; Magnoliopsida; Poales; Poaceae.
GGAGGAGGAGGAGAAUCGUCCAAAAGAAACGCCUUUUUCUUUGGCUCCCCCUUCCACAGUGCGCAAAACCACCGCCGCAACACCCACAGAUUUCCACCUUUCCUCUCCGCCAGGCCCUUCUCAAGCUCGCAGCCACCUCCUCCUCCCCGCCCGCCCGCCCGGCAUGGCGCUGCACCGCGCGGCCUCCGCGAUCCGGCGCCGCGGGCCCCUGCUGCCGGGCAGCGCGCCGGCGAGGGCGAUGGCGUCGCUCUUCGGCCACGUCGAGCCGGCGCCCAAGGACCCCAUCCUCGGCGUCACCGAGGCCUUCCUCGCCGACCCGUCCCCGGACAAAGUGAACGUCGGCGUCGGCGCCUACCGGGACGACAACGGCAAGCCCGUCGUGCUCGACUGCGUGCGCCAGGCGGAGAGCCGGAUCGCCGGCAACCUCAACAUGGAGUACCUUCCAAUGGGAGGAAGCAUCAAGAUGAUUGAAGAGUCGCUAAAGCUGGUGUACGGAGAGGAAUCUGAGUUCAUCAAAGAUAAGAGGAUUGCAGCGGUGCAGGCGCUUUCAGGCACUGGUGCAUGCCGGCUCUUCGCUGAUUUCCAGAAGCGUUUCUUGCCGGAUUCACAGAUCUACAUACCUACGCCGACAUGGUCCAACCACCAUAAUAUUUGGAGGGAUGCUCAAGUGCCACAGAGAACAUACUCAUAUUACCAUCCAGAAUCAAGAGGGCUUGAUUUCGCAGGAUUGAUGGAUGAUAUCAAGAAUGCUCCAAAUGGCUCAUUUUUCUUGCUUCAUGCAUGUGCCCAUAAUCCUACUGGGGUAGAUCCUACAGAGGAACAAUGGAGAGAGAUAUCCUAUCAGUUCAAGUUGAAGAACCAUUUCCCAUUCUUUGACAUGGCGUACCAAGGAUUUGCUAGCGGUGAUCCAGAGAGAGAUGCCAAGGCAAUCCGUAUAUUCCUUGAAGAUGGGCACCAAAUUGGAUGCGCUCAGUCGUAUGCAAAGAACAUGGGCCUUUAUGGACAGAGAGCGGGAUGCCUGAGUGUUCUAUGUGAGGAUGAGUUGCAAGCAGUUGCUGUUAAGAGCCAAUUGCAACAGAUUGCGAGACCAAUGUACAGCAACCCACCUGUCCAUGGUGCAUUGGUUGUAUCUAUUAUCCUUAAUGAUCCAGAAUUGAAAAGCCUAUGGUUGAGAGAGGUCAAGGGUAUGGCUGAUCGUAUCAUUGGAAUGCGGAAGGCACUUCGGGAGAAUCUCGAAAACUUAGGUUCACCUUUAUCAUGGGAGCAUGUUACCAAUCAGAUUGGAAUGUUCUGCUACAGUGGGAUGACACCUGAACAAGUUGAUCGCUUGACAAAUGAAUACCAUAUUUACAUGACACGCAACGGGAGAAUAAGCAUGGCUGGUGUAACAACAGGAAAUGUUGCCUACUUGGCUAAUGCCAUUCAUGAUGUGACUAAAUAAAACUGAGGCUUCUUACUCUCACCUCCUUCAGCCAAUGAAACAAGAGCGGUUUUUAUUUCUUUUGACGGCUAUUCACUAUAUACCAUGAUACUAGAGAAAUAAGUUAUAGCAAACCUGUUGCAGCUGUCUAAAUGAAGAAUUGUACCUGGAUGUCUUUGAGAGAGCUGUAGUCUGGAUCCUGUUUUUGACUGUUCCUUUAGUGGUAAAUGUAACGAGUCAGUUGAAAAUGGCUCUACCUUUAUUUUAACGAGAACUCCAGGAAUUUGAACUUCAAAAAUUGAGCAUUCGGAUGUA